GGGGGGGGGAGGAGCAGGCCGGGGAGAGGGGAUUUGGCCUUGGCCAAAGGCCACCAGGCCAAGGGGAAAAACACCAGGGGGUUGGCUAGGGUUUUCCUUUUCUUUUUUUCUUUCUUUUAUUUUCCAAAGCAUUUUCACAAGUGAAUUUGAAUCCUUUUAAAAGAAUUAGACCAAAACACACAGCACAAAAAUAAUUAUGCUCCGACAUGAAUGCACAAUCAAGGUUAUUAAACCUAUGAUGAAUUUUAUUUUUUCAACAAAAAUUAUUUAUUCACUAAAUUAAAUGCUCACACAAAUACUUAAAUAGUUCAAAUUAAAUCAUAUUAAUUCGAAAGCAAAUUUUUAGGUGUUACAAAUUCUACUCCCCGUAAAAGAAUCUCGUCCUCGAGAUUCGGAAAAGGCAC
Molecule: long non-coding RNA, 404 nt
Filed under: Sorghum bicolor (sorghum)
Lineage: Eukaryota; Viridiplantae; Streptophyta; Magnoliopsida; Poales; Poaceae
Description: long non-coding RNA (SBIC_LNC005391)
Source: RNAcentral